Molecule: ribosomal RNA, 253 nt
Filed under: uncultured bacterium
Lineage: Bacteria
Description: partial 16S ribosomal RNA
Rfam family: Bacterial small subunit ribosomal RNA
Source: RNAcentral
UACGAAGGGGGCUAGCGUUGUUCGGAAUCACUGGGCGUAAAGGGCGCGUAGGCGGCGCGACAAGUCAGGCGUGAAAGCCCCGGGCUCAACCCGGGAAUUGCGCUUGAUACUGUCGUGCUUGAGGCCGGGAGAGGAUGGCGGAAUUCCCAGUGUAGAGGUGAAAUUCGUAGAUAUCGGGAGGAACACCAGUGGCGAAGGCGGCGAUCUGGGAAGAUACUGACGCUGAGGUGCGAAAGCGUGGGGAGCAAACAGG